This 319-nucleotide unclassified non-coding RNA is filed under the name plant metagenome. RNAcentral describes it as "partial contains 5.8S ribosomal RNA, internal transcribed spacer 2, and large subunit ribosomal RNA". The stretch from base 1 to 105 matches the Rfam family "5.8S ribosomal RNA", at positions 50 to 154 of the family's 154-position model. The record is from RNAcentral.
GAAAUGCGAUAAGUAAUGUGAAUUGCAGAAUUCAGUGAAUCAUCGAAUCUUUGAACGCACAUUGCGCCCGCCAGUAUUCUGGCGGGCAUGCCUGUUCGAGCGUCAUACAACCCUCAGGCCCCCGGGCCUGGCGUUGGGGAUCGGCGGAAGCCCCCUGCGGGCACAACGCCGUCCCCCAAAUACAGUGGCGGUCCCGCCGCAGCUUCCAUUGCGUAGUAGCUAACACCUCGCAACUGGAGAGCGGCGCGGCCACGCCGUAAAACACCCAACUUCUGAAUGUUGACCUCGAAUCAGGUAGGAAUACCCGCUGAACUUAAGC